RNAcentral lists this ribosomal RNA (142 nucleotides) under uncultured Alphaproteobacteria bacterium. RNAcentral describes it as "partial 16S ribosomal RNA". It matches the Rfam family "Bacterial small subunit ribosomal RNA", at positions 537 to 678 of the family's 1533-position model. Lineage: Bacteria; Pseudomonadati; Pseudomonadota; Alphaproteobacteria. The record is from RNAcentral.
AGCGUUGCUCGGAAUUACUGGGCGUAAAGGGCGCGUAGGCGGUCUUCCAAGUCAGUGGUGAAAGCCCGGAGCUCAACUCCGGAACUGCCAUUGAAACUGUUAGACUUGAGGACGAGAGAGGUGAGUGGAAUUCCCAGUGUAG